RNAcentral lists this unclassified non-coding RNA (297 nucleotides) under Mycoplasmopsis citelli. Its description in RNAcentral is "Mycoplasma citelli 16S-23S ribosomal RNA intergenic spacer". The record is from RNAcentral. Lineage: Bacteria; Bacillati; Mycoplasmatota; Mycoplasmoidales; Metamycoplasmataceae.
CUACGGAGUACAUAAAAACAUCUAAAUUAGAUGUUUAAUUUACCUUAAAGACUAUUUUAAAAAUCAGUUAUGUAGCUUGUUGAAUAGUCCAAGUGAUAUAUAUCUAGUUUUGAGAGAACUUUAAUCUCUCAAAUAUGUUCUUUGAAAACUGAAUAGUAAAGAUAUUUAAUUAAUAUAACAACGACAUCAAAUAAAACAAUUAGUCAAUUUGUUUUGUGAUACCGAGUUAUAAAUUAUUAGUAAUAAUAGUUUAUUAAAAUGUCUUUGAAUACAUCAACAAUAGGAAAAUACAUAACU